RNAcentral lists this ribosomal RNA (253 nucleotides) under uncultured bacterium. RNAcentral's name for it is "partial 16S ribosomal RNA". It matches the Rfam family "Bacterial small subunit ribosomal RNA", at positions 524 to 776 of the family's 1533-position model. The record is from RNAcentral.
UACGUAGGGUGCAAGCGUUAAUCGGAAUUACUGGGCGUAAAGCGUGCGCAGGCGGUUGUGCAAGACAGAUGUGAAAUCCCCGGGCAUAACCUGGGAAUGGCAUUUGUGACUGCACGGCUAGAGUGUGUCAGAGGGGGGUAGAAUUCCACGUGUAGCAGUGAAAUGCGUAGAUAUGUGGAGGAAUACCGAUGGCGAAGGCAGCCCCCUGGGAUAACACUGACGCUCAUGCACGAAAGCGUGGGGAGCAAACAGG